This is a small nuclear RNA of Erinaceus europaeus (western European hedgehog), 102 nucleotides long. The record is from Ensembl. Lineage: Eukaryota; Metazoa; Chordata; Mammalia; Eulipotyphla; Erinaceidae.
GUGCUUGCUUUGGCAGCACAUACAGUAAAAUUGGAAUGAUAUAAAGAUUAGCAUGACCCCUGCACAGAAGACAUGCAAAUCUGUGAAGCUUUCUGUUUAAAA